GCCUGGGAUAGCUCAGUCUGUAGAGCGUGAGACAGUUAAUCUCAGGGUCGUAAGUUCGAGCCCCAUGAUUCCUGCA
Non-coding RNA from Podarcis lilfordi (Lilford's wall lizard), 76 nucleotides. The record is from the annotation of a GenBank genome assembly. NCBI's taxonomy places the organism in Eukaryota, Metazoa, Chordata, Lepidosauria, Squamata, Lacertidae.